CAAGUCUCGCACUGUUUACAGUUGCAUUUUUUAUGUGAGUAAGUAAUUUCUCUAAAAACUGAAAGGAUUUCUUGGUGAAUUGAUGGGAAAGUGUGCUAACAAUGUGAUUUUGGAAUAGAGAUUCAGUUCGUUUUUAUUUUUCGACGCCGAUCAAUCUUGUGAUUGGUAUCAUGAAAUUGAGCCCUGUCAGACCUGUUGGCACAGAGCUGCAGAUAGAUCAGAGAGUUUUGUCAAGGCGAUCGAAAAUCUUGCGAGAGACCAAGUCAAAUCAUGCCAACCUGGAGCCUCCUCUGUCUGCGGUCACAUGAAUGAAUGUGGAGUCCAUAAGGAACCAAAGGAACAAUUUUAAGGUA
Molecule: non-coding RNA, 353 nt
Organism: Bemisia tabaci
Lineage: Eukaryota; Metazoa; Arthropoda; Insecta; Hemiptera; Aleyrodidae
Source: RefSeq, a predicted model, not a curated record